RNAcentral lists this unclassified non-coding RNA (845 nucleotides) under Hevea brasiliensis (rubber tree). The record is from RNAcentral. Lineage: Eukaryota; Viridiplantae; Streptophyta; Magnoliopsida; Malpighiales; Euphorbiaceae.
CCCCAGCCACAGCGGUCAUCAGGAUCAGACCACAAAAGAUCACACAUCGGACCCUCAUGGGGAACUUCUUGAACACGAUCAAAAUUACGUAUGUUGUCAAGGGUUUCAAUGGAAGGGGAUAAUCCACCAUGGAGACAAAAUAUCUCUGAUUCAACCAAUGCUGUCAGUGGAAAAUAGUCGAACAAAUCUGUAAAGAUCUUCCAAACAUUGGCAUUGCCAUACUUCCGUAGGCAUUCAUCAUAGAACCCAUAAACUUGAGUAAUCUGACGACUUUCAUGAUUUCCCCGUAGAAUGGUAAUUCGUUGAGGAUAACGCACCUUCAGAGCUACCAAAAGCGUUACAGUUUCAACUGAGUAAUAGCCACGGUCAACAUAAUCUCCCAUGAACAAAUAAUUUGUAUCUGGACACUUUCCUCCAAUUCGAAAAAGUUCAGCAAGAUCAUGGAAUUGACCAUGGAUAUCACCACAUAUUGUAACAGGACUUUUAACAGGCUGAACAUUGCUUUCUUCCAUCAAAAUCUCCUUAGCCUUUUCACACAACAUCCUUACCUCUUGCUCAGAUAAGGGCUUGCACUGCAUGAGCUGAUUAAUCUGCUCAUCAAGGUUUCCAUGCGCGUUCGCAGGGAGCGAAUCCAAGCUCAUUUUCUUGUUGCCUCUUUGUUUAAUCAGAGAUCGAGAUCCCUUCGAUUUCAGGUUUUAUUGUAUGACCUAACCCUAGAUUAUUUCUCCCGAAGAAUAAUAAAUUGAACCCUAGAUUUCACUCUCUUCGAAUUACUAGAGAGAGAAAAUGAAUAAUUAGAGUUAGAGAGAGAAUGUGAGAAAAGGAAGAGAAAGAAAAAGUAUCUG